GUGCUGGUCCCUUAUAAACCCAUCUGGGACAAUCCAGAUGCCGUGGAGGUCACGGGCCUGCCUGAUGACAUCCCCUUCCAGAACUCCAACGCCUACGACAUCCACCGGCUGGAGAAGAUCCUGAAGGCCCGAGAGCACAUUUGCGUGGUGAUCAUUAACCAGCUCCAACCCUUUGCAGAAAUCUGCAAUGAUGCCAAGGUGCCAGCCAAAGACAGCAGCAUUCCCAAGCGCAAGAGAAAGCGGGUCUCUGAAGGAAAUUCCAUCUCCUCUUCCUCCUUGUCUUCCUCUUCCUCAUCCUCUAACCUGGAUUCAGUGGCAUCAGCCAAUCAGAUCUCACUCGUGGUAAAGUUCACAGAUUUGGACUCCAGCCCUCGUCUCUGUGACCCUCCCGGCUUGGUCGGGCAGGGCCGUCUACUCUG
Long non-coding RNA from Rhinopithecus roxellana (golden snub-nosed monkey), 419 nucleotides. RefSeq lists it as uncharacterized. NCBI's taxonomy places the organism in Eukaryota, Metazoa, Chordata, Mammalia, Primates, Cercopithecidae. The record is from RefSeq and is a predicted model, not a curated record. The transcript is spliced from 3 exons.